Chelonia mydas (Green sea turtle) is the source of this 3757-nucleotide RNA transcript. It is a transcript of the gene named HemK methyltransferase family member 1, with no coding region annotated. Lineage: Eukaryota; Metazoa; Chordata; Testudines; Cheloniidae. The record is from RefSeq and is a predicted model, not a curated record. The transcript has 11 exons.
CUCAUCGAUAGAACGUGCUGCUGCUGCGCGCGCUGCAGGCUCCGGCUUUUCCCGGGGAGUCCCUGACUCAAACGCGCCGGCGGGCUCGGGGCCGGACAGGGGAAAAGGCAGCAGGGGCUGCCAGGAGGUCUGGGUCGCUGCAGAGGAAUGAUGCCCUGAGCUGGUGCCUUGAUGUGAGGAGAUGCCCAUAGGAUGCCUUUCACAACGCCUGUGGGCAUGAGAAGACUCUUGCAGUGGCCGAGUGUCUGGUGGGCGUUUAGAAGCCGUGAUGUGGGAGUGUCAGGUGGUGAGGAGACCGUGUCCCCGGCCUGCUGAGGCUUGAGAUUGACUAGGUCUGGUGAAGGUGGCCCGGGAAGGAAGGACACACGUGGCAUCUUGGAAACCAGAAGUGGCGUCUGACGAGAUGAGGCUCCUCACCAGCCCAUUGCGCCGGAUGCUGUUGGGCCUCCUGAAUCUCUGUGAAGGAGAGGGAGGGAGUCCUGCCAAAUGCUGUGUCCUAAACCCCCACCGCCUGCUUCGGAGGCAGAAUUUCAGUGCUAAAAUGACAGCCACUGAGAUGGUCAGCUACUGGCGAGGUGUGUUUGAGGCAAACGGGAUCCCUGAAGCACAGGAAUCCAGCGAAUAUAUCGUUUCCUACGUCCUGGGAGCAAAGACAUUUCACAGCUUGGAUGCUGGCAGCCUCUCCACCCCGCUCACAUUGGAGCAGCAGCAGCAGAUCCAGAAGCUGAGUACGAAGCGGUUACAAAGGAUGCCUGUGCAGUACAUCCUUGGUGAGUGGGAUUUCUGGGAACUGACCCUCAAGAUGAGACCCCCAGUCUUCAUUCCUCGGCCUGAGACAGAGGAUCUUGUCUCCUUGGUGUUGGAAGAAGAAAUCCAGAGGAGCGGGAGCCCUGCAGUUAAUGUGGGUCACCAGUGCCCCACUGUUGUUUCUCACCCGGUGAUCCUGGAAAUCGGCUGUGGCUCAGGGGCCAUUGCACUGAGUUUACUGAGCAAACUGCCCACGAGCCGGGUGAUAGCUGUGGAUAAAGAGGAAGCUGCUGUGAAUCUCACCAGAGAGAAUGCUCAGAGGUUGCAGCUACAGGACAGGAUAAGAAUUCUCCGCUACAAUGUCUCCUCCGGUUCCUGGGAGCAGCUCCUCCCCUGGGGUCCUGUGGACACUAUAGUCAGUAACCCACCUUAUGUCUUCCAUGGAGACAUGACUCACCUGGCUGAAGAGAUCCUCAGCUAUGAGGACCUUGGUGCCCUGGAUGGGGGAAAUGAUGGGAUGACAGUGAUCAAAAAAAUUCUGGCUCUGGCUCCUUGUAUCCUGAAGAAUCAUGGAUGAAGUGAAAGGUGCCGGAUGAACAGCUCUUGCAACUGCAGCCCUUUGUCUAUCCCCGCAAAAAUGAGUUCCCCAGCCCUGGGAGGUGACCAGAGGCCCAGCUGUUCUAGGAAAGCUCAAGCCGAGUCAGCAGCUGUGAAUUCCAGUUCUAGGAAUUGCAGUUGUGGGUCCUGGCGGAAACUUCCUGGAAUUCUCUCUGCUAUUCGAAGGAAAACAAAAUAACUAUUUCAGUGACCUUAAACUUCCAAAGACUUAGGAGCAAGAGUUUGGAGGCAGCAGAGAUAGAAGGGAUUAAUAUUUUUCUCCUGUAAUUCAGUUGGUUGUUUGGCUUUUGCACUUUAUUUAAUGUCAGGGCAACUGGCAUGAAAAAGCGAGCAAGAGAACUCUCUACACAGACAGAAGGAGAUAGCUGUAGUGACCACAGGAAUUUUUAAAAGGGAGGUACGGUAAAAAGGUCAGAGUUUUCAGGUAUCAGCCACAACCUCUUUGUGAAAGGUCAGUGUCAGUGUCAGACCUGGGAGACACCCAUAACCAACCUCACACAACCACAUGGCCAUGAAUAAAAGGACCCAGAAAGCUACCAACAGAAAAUGGUCCUGUUGUUUAAGCUGUAACUCAAGACAGCAGGUGCCACCUGGCACUAUGUUACUUCUGUUAAUUGUUCACCCAUUCUCAACCCAGUCAGGGGUUUGUCACUUGCUCUCUCCAAACCGGAAAUGAUGGGGAGAUUUCUCCAGUAAACCUGCAAAGCAGUUAAGGAAACAGACUCAGCAUGGCACGUACAAAGUAACCCUGUUUUGCUCACUGUCAGCAGCCAUAUGCACAUCUGCUCCUCAGUCUGGGGGAGGAGUGUUCUCACCAUCCUAAGUUAUUUUAAUAGGCCAUCUCCCUUCUGUGCAGCACCACUUAGGCACCAUGGGGUGACUUAAAAUCAGCAGCGGCAUUACGGGAAAAUUUUUUGACAAGUGGGCAUUCAGCUCAAAAGCACUGUCAUAGGUUACGUGCAGCCCUGUUACAAGUGUACACAUUAGUACCUAUUUUUCUUCUCUUACAAGUUUUAACUCCCAAGUGGUCGGGCAGCCCCUCUUAACAGAUUCUGAAAGAGAUACUCUAGCUCUGCCAUAAGUUAUUGAGCUUGAGGCAGGAAUCACGGUGUGAAAUUCUCUGGCCUAUGUUAUGCAAGAGGUCAAACUAGAUGCUCAGAAUAGUUCCUUCCAGCCUUAAUGUCGAAGGAUCUAUUCAUUUAACCUGGCUGUUUCCACUCAGCACUUGUUCCUUAGUUUAGAUUUGCCCCCAGUCACCCUCUGAGGAUCAGAUGACAGAUUUUGGAGACUUCACAUCCAAACCACGACCUUAACCCCCUUCUUGCAUUUCACUGUGUGUCUGUACAUAAUGGGAUGGGUUUGCUAUGAGAUGGCAACUGACGCUAGACAAAUUCAGGCUAGAAAUAAGGUAUACCUUUGUAACAGUGAAGAUAAUUAACCAUUGGAACAACUUAACCAGGAUUGUGGUGGAUUCUCCAUCACUGGCAAUUUUUAAAUUAAGAUUGGAUUUUUUAAAAAAAAGAUCUGAUCUAGUUUGAAAUUAUUUAUUCUGUGGAAGUCCUAUGGGCUUUGCUAUACAGAAGGUCAGACUGGAUGAUCAGAGUGGUCCCUUCUGGCUUUGGGAUUGCAUUUCACUGCAGCUGAAUGAGAACCAAGGCACCUUGUGGCAUCCUAGGCAGCAGUUCUACUAGGUGAACCAAAGGGCACCCUCCCAUUGGCCAAGUCAGCAGGAGCCAUGCUGAGCUACUGUCAGGAGAAGCAGAAGUAGGUGUGUUUAAAAUAAUUUGCCUUUGCUGCUUGUUUCUUUCUUUUCAAGAAAAGAACAGGAUGGAGAUUAGGGGAGCCAGACAAUUUCAUACUGAGUUUAAAAGCAAACCAAGCCCAGGAUUCUUUGUGUUUCAGUUCCUUUUGCUGGUGUAAGUAGCUACAGGUGUCACAUUUUACAAAUUUGCUCAGUAGUAUGCAAAGUUAUUAGCAGCUAAUGCUCAUGUUGGUGAAGAACCCAUCAAGGCUUCAGAUAUUAUUUACAUGCAAGAAAGUCUCCAAUAGUGAUAUUUUUAAAGGAAAACUUUUUGCCUUUAUGGCAAACUAAAAACAGACAGAAGCUAUGAAGUGGCAGUCAGUGUGAUGAAUUCAUAUAUUCCAAGGCUGGAAGGAAUCAGUGUGAUCAUCUAGUCUGACCUCCUGUAUAACACAGGCCAGAGAACUCCCCCAAAAUAAUUCCUAGAGCAGAUCUUUUAGGAAAUCAUUCAAUCUUGAUUUCCUAAAAGUUAUCAGUGAUGGAAAAUCCACCACAACUCUUGAUAAAUUGUUCCAGUGCUAAUUACCCUUGCUGUUAAAAAUUUACACCUUAUUUCCAGUCUGAAUUUGGCUAGCUUCAACUUCCAGGCAU